AAGAGAUGGGGUGCCCAAAGAAUGUCCCAGAUACGACCGCCCCGUUCCAACCCCCGCACGUGACCCUGCCUCCUCAUCGACUUCCCUCCUGGCCGUCGCCGCCUCUCCUCCUCUUCCUCCUCUCUCUCCCCUGCCGCCGCCGCUUCUCCUCCUCCCCCUCCCCCAUGCUAGCCCUCCACCUGCCAUCCACAGAGCCACAGGGUGGUCGAGUCAUCGGGGUGAGCAGCGGUGGCCAUCUGUGGUGUGUCGGGUGGAGGAGAUGAGGAGGGUGGGAAUGACGGCAGUGGGGGAAGGAGCAGCGAGGCCGGAGGAGCUCGCGCCGCCGCUGGUUGUGGAUGCGCUGCUGCAGCUCGUCUAGCGUCGACCUGGUCUUUUUCAUGUGAGGGCCUACAUAAGAAAAGCUCCCAUGGGAGCUUCUGCCCAUACUCCGAGUUGAAUUUACAGGUGAUGUAUCCAUGGAGACAAGAUGUUUGUAAAAUUGCCUGAGAGGGUUGUGUGGAUUUUACAAGUUGUUAUUGCUAUUACUUAUCUUGUAAAUUGUUUGUUAUUCCUUUCACCUAUUAUGUGGUUACUUUUGAGGUGUUUUUUGGUUAUGUCAUGACACAGGCUUAUCAAACGGCGGCGUUGCCUCUAGCAUCAGACACGGUGUGGCUGGUUGUUGUGUUUUACACCCACAGGAAGGCCCUUCGCUCAGCUGGAGUUUCCUUAGAAAAUGCGCCUGGCCGUGAGGGGUUGUGGAAGGGUGCCCUUGACGAGCAGGACAAUACCACGUCCCUUGCUCAUCGGUCUGACUGACAUGGCCAUCUUCAUAAAUGGGAUGGAGAGCUGUUGAGGGAGGCCCUGUCAUGGACUGGCCGAGACUGUCGAGCAUCGUGUUGAAAAUCCUCAGAGAGGUUGCGAUAUGCUUUGUCAACCAAUGGAUGCUGGCCGAGGUCGCCCAGGUCGAGAGCGCGCCCACCAGCCUGAAGCUCAUCCACAAGCCCUGAACUCAAGGUCAGCAACGGAGAUGGGUGUCCCUACCAGUGGCUCUUCAAGAGAGAGGAGCAAGAACAUGAUGGCGGCGGGGUGUUCGGUUUGUGGUCCACUUCGAUGCGGGAUGUGGAGGCGCGAUCCGACAAAGCCUCCCGAUGCUCCAACCACUCUUCCCAUCAACGCCAAGGAGCAGCAGCCUCCGCAGAUUCUAUGAUGACUGAUGCAAAGUCCGUGCUGUGCUCCUAUGAUCGAGGAAUUUGCAGCAGGUCUGAUCCCUUGCGCGUGCUCCUCCGCUUGUCCUCACCCUCUCGACCCUCCCCUUGCUCAUCACCAUCCAUUUUAUUCAGAGUGUAGAUGGCGGGCAAAACACCUAAGCUCCAGAGCAAGGAUGAAAGCACUCCAUACACACCCGCAAGGAUGAUGAUCCAUCUGUUUCUAGGAUGGUGGGACUUGAGGCAUGCACUAGAAUCAAGGAUUAGCUACUUGAUGAAAAUAUACAGGAGACUCUCCUACUCAACAUGACGUUAAAAAAAAGAAUCAAGGAUCAGUUCAAUGGGAAUUGGAAUGAUGAAAACACUUGUUUGAGCACAUGUGAUCCUCAUAAUAGCAUAUUUGUAAUAAAUCAUUGUAGUCAAAACACUUUUUUAUAAUUCUGUAGUCAAAUCACUUACUGUUGUGUAUAAGUGCCAUUAAGGAUCAACCUAAACCUGCGAAGGUGCAUAAACUAGAUAAGUGCGCACAUGAACGCUCAGGAGGCGUGCCAAUGGCACGCCCCAACCACUAGUAAUCAUCAUAAGUAGCAACUUUGUUCUCAUCAUAAUCAAUUGAAACCUCUUCCAAGAUAGUGGAAUCAUUACUAAAUAAAGUCAUGACCUCUUCAAAUUCACUUUCAUAAUUGUCAAAAUAAGAUUCAACAUCAUCCAAAAUAGUGGGAUCAUUACUUCCAAACCCACUUUCAUCAAUAUAACCAUCAUAAGUAGGAGGCAUGCUAUCAUCAUAAUAAAUUUCCAUAUCAAAAUUUGGGGGACUAAAAUAUCAUCUUCAUCAAAUGUAGCAUCCCCAAGCUUGGGACAAACAUUAAUUGCAGCCAAUACAUUCUCAAACAUGUCAUUCUCAUCAAAUAUAGCAUCCCCAAGCUUGGGCCUUUUCAUACCAUAAGCAUAAUCACUCUCAUCAUUAAUAGUAUGGAUAUCACCAAUAGUAUAGCAAUUAUCAUCAUCACAAUGAGUAACAGGAGCAACAUCAUUUGGGAGGGAUACCUUUUCACCUUUACUUCUCCGUCUUUUCUUUUUCUUCUUCACAUUAUGUGUGGGUUCAAUCC
RNAcentral lists this ribosomal RNA (2293 nucleotides) under Triticum aestivum (bread wheat). RNAcentral describes it as "partial small subunit ribosomal RNA". The record is from RNAcentral. Lineage: Eukaryota; Viridiplantae; Streptophyta; Magnoliopsida; Poales; Poaceae.